UCCCCAUAUGCGCCCACUCCAUCCAUCCGGGGCGCUGUAGAAGGCAGUUUGGCCUGCUUUUAAUUGGAAACCACUGCCGCCAUUAUUAUUACCGAGUGUUAUUAUGGCGGGCCAUAUUGUCUCCUUACAAAGAUUAACAAUGAUAUUCUCCAAAGACAAUUAUUUACCUGAUAGAAUGAGGAUGAAGACAUACAAUAAAGAUGUAAGAGGUACAGAACUGGAACAGUAAGCCAUCUCUGCCACUUAUCUCUCUAUUGAGUAUUUAGCUUGUUUGAGGUCGAGACAUGGUAAGAGAAGGUAGCUAGAGUUGUAACUUAUAUCCGAAUGGAGAGAAAAGUGAGGGGGAAGAAUACGUGUGAAGAGAGGGAAUCUGCAGAUUCUGUAUAGCCACUGACAGCUCCAAAAGGCUUCCUUGCUUGUUACCAUAAUCCAUUUGAUACCUUUCCCCAGUCUUUAA
Long non-coding RNA from Carica papaya (papaya), 457 nucleotides. RefSeq lists it as uncharacterized. The record is from RefSeq and is a predicted model, not a curated record. Lineage: Eukaryota; Viridiplantae; Streptophyta; Magnoliopsida; Brassicales; Caricaceae.